GGGGAAUAUUGCACAAUGGGCGGAAGCCUGAUGCAGCGACGCCGCGUGAGGGAUGACGGCCUUCGGGUUGUAAACCUCUUUCAGUACGGAAGAAGCCUCUUCGGGGGUGACGGUACGUGCAGAAGAAGCGCCGGCUAACUACGUGCCAGCAGCCGCGGUAAUACGUAGGGCGCAAGCGUUGUCCGGAAUUAUUGGGCGUAAAGAGCUCGUAGGCGGCUUGUCGCGUCUGCCGUGAAAGGCCAGCGCUUAACGCUGGGAGUGCGGUGGGUACGGGCAGGCUAGAGUUCGGUAGGGGAGACUGGAAUUCCUGGUGUAGCGGUGGAAUGCGCAGAUAUCAGGAGGAACACCGAUGGCGAAGGCAGGUCUCUGGGCCGUUACUGACGCUGAGGAGCGAAAGCAUGGGUAGCGAAC
Molecule: ribosomal RNA, 411 nt
Filed under: uncultured bacterium
Lineage: Bacteria
Description: bacterial SSU rRNA
Rfam family: Bacterial small subunit ribosomal RNA
Source: RNAcentral